Molecule: ribosomal RNA, 435 nt
Filed under: uncultured bacterium
Lineage: Bacteria
Description: partial 16S ribosomal RNA
Rfam family: Bacterial small subunit ribosomal RNA
Source: RNAcentral
AGCGAACGCUGGCGGCAGGCUUAACACAUGCAAGUCGAACGGGCAUAGCAAUAUGUCAGUGGCAGACGGGUGAGUAACGCGUGGGAACGUACCUUUUGGUUCGGAACAACACAGGGAAACUUGUGCUAAUACCGGAUAAGCCCUUACGGGGAAAGAUUUAUCGCCGAAAGAUCGGCCCGCGUCUGAUUAGCUAGUUGGUAGGGUAAUGGCCUACCAAGGCGACGAUCAGUAGCUGGUCUGAGAGGAUGAUCAGCCACAUUGGGACUGAGACACGGCCCAAACUCCUACGGGAGGCAGCGGUGGGGGAUAUUGGACAAUGGGCGAGAGCCUGAUCCAGCCAUGCCGGGGGAGUGAUGAAGGCCCUAGGGUUGUAAAGCUCUUUUGUGCGGGAAGAUAAUGACGGUACCGCAAGAAUAAGCCCCGGCUAACUUCGUG